This 345-nucleotide RNase P RNA is filed under the name bovine gut metagenome. Its description in RNAcentral is "Bacterial RNase P class B". It matches the Rfam family "Bacterial RNase P class B". From Rfam's summary of the family: Ribonuclease P (RNase P) is a ubiquitous endoribonuclease, found in archaea, bacteria and eukarya as well as chloroplasts and mitochondria. The record is from RNAcentral.
GGUCAAUUGCUGCUAUAUUUUAUAGUAGAGGAAAGUCCAUGCUUGCACAUUCUGUGAUGAAUGUAGUGUUUUAGUAGGAUUAACAAAUAAAUCCUAGCAUAACUAAUUGUUAUGAUGGCAAAGAUAAUAGCUAAAGAAUUUAUUCCAUGUUAUUCUCUUUAAUAAAGUGCCACAGAGACGAGCUAGAAAGAAAUUUUUAGGUGAAACGCGGUAAACCCCUAAAGCAAGAAACCUAAAUUAUGGUAAGGGAAUGCAAAAACAAGAAAUGAAUUGGUUUUGUGACUUAAAAGAUUUUUUAAGUAGAUAAAUAAUUGACGGCAUUUUUGCUACAGAACAUGGCUUACA